This 1635-nucleotide long non-coding RNA is filed under the name Canis lupus dingo (dingo). Its description in RNAcentral is "lncRNA (ENSCAFG00020017252.1)". Lineage: Eukaryota; Metazoa; Chordata; Mammalia; Carnivora; Canidae. The record is from RNAcentral.
AGAGAGACGGCGGCGGCGGAGUCGCAGUGGCACCCGGUCUCCCAAAAAGCCUCGGUCGCCUAAAAGAAAGCUGUCGCGUUCACCGUCCCCUCGGAGGUAAGGAUGUCGGUGCUGGGGCCCCGGGUCUGUGUCGUCGUCGUCGCCCGCCCCCUCCCCCCCCCCCCCAGGUCUUCCCGUGGCUCGGUGCCCUGUGCCCUGUGCCCUGUGCCCUGACCCAGGCUGCGCAGCCGCACUCGCCGGGAACUGAGCAGUGCGUAGAGCGCGUUGGUUUGAGGCUGUGUGUGUCCCUGUCCCCCUAGACAUAAAAAGGAGAAGAAGAAAGAUAAAGACAAAGAGAGAAGCAGAGAUGAACGGGAACGAUCAACAAGCAAGAAGAAGAAAAGUAAAGACAAGGAGAAGGACCGGGAACGAAAGUCGGAGAGCGACAAAGACGUCAAACAGGUCACACGGGAUUACGACGAAGAGGAGCAGGGCUACGACAGCGAGAAGGAGAAGAAGGAGGAGAAGAAGGCAGCCGAACCGAGUUCCCCUAAGACGAAGGAGUGCUCGGUGGAGAAGGGGCCGGGCGACGCCCUCCGGGAAUCCAAAGUGAAUGGGGAUGACCAUCACGAGGAGGACAUGGACAUGAGUGACUGAGCCCGGCCCGCGGCGCCCGCCUGUAAACAUGCAUCAGUGUCAUUCCUCGUGCGACCUCAACGCUGUAUUUGUUCAUCUCCGACCUAGGUGUGCACAGCUCUGAGUUACAAAUGGUUAUAAAGCUCCUGAUAGUGAUAUUAGUCAUUUACACCCCAAAGCUUCUAGAAAACGAUACACGAGUAACCAGUUGUUGACGUGGUGAGAUCUGAUCGAGUAACCAAGCAGCUGUACCAUCCUGGUGCUGCUUCACAACACAACGAAAAGCUGCAUGCGUCUCCAGCAGGCAUGGAUUGUUUCUGUUGUAUGAUCCUCUUUAUUAAGUCAGUUCACUUAUAGUAUUUCUAGAAUUUGAUUCAUUGCCGUAUAGAGCCCUGUAGGGAAUGCACUGAUUGCAUGUUAAUUGUGGCAGGAAUAUCCUAAAUGUCAUUAAAAUCCUCCAACAUGAUGGAUCUCCUUACGGUCUUGUUUGUUGACAUGACAAAUUAACAUUCUUCUAGUUACAUCUGAAAAUGAACAUUUGAAAUAGAUAAUCCUUUAAGCCUCGUGGCUGAAUUUUCGUGGCUUUUGUUUAACUCUGAAAGGUUAUAUAUAUGCACUAACCUUUUUUUGAUGGCUGAUUAGGCUUUAAUUACGAAACCAGGUUUCAGAGGAAGCGGUCUCCGGCAGUGGGUCAGUAGCAUAUUUUGAAGUAGAGUUGUAUACUUUUUCAUAAGGUGUUUGGGAAUUUGUUUUCCUGAAAUAAUUUAUUCCACGUCGUGACAUCAGUGAACGCGUCUGCCUAUCCUGAGUCCAUCUGCAAAAGGAAGUUCUCUCUCGUCCCGAUUGUCAGUUUUCCAGUCUUUUAUUAAUUUGUUUUAAUCUCCGUGUUGGAAAAAAGGGGUAGUGCAUUUUAAAUUGACCUUCAUAUGCUUUUAAAAUAAGACAAAUCUACUUGAUAAUGUACUUUUUAUUUGAUCUCGAGUUGUAUAAAACCAAUAAAUUUGUGUUACUGUUACUGCA